CUACGGGUCGCUGCAGGCGAGAAAACUUUGCAAUGUGCGAAAGCACGACAAGGUUAAUCCGAGUGGUCUCUGCUAAAGGGACCUUUUGACAGUCCUAGAAACACUGUUGAAUAAGGGGUGGGCAAGUUCUGGUGUCAGCCGCCGCGGUAAAACCAGCACCUCAAGUGGUCAGGAUGAUUAUUGGGCCUAAAGCAUCCGUAGCCCGCUUUGCCAGUUUUCGGUUAAAUCCAUAUGCUCAACAUAUGGGCUGCCGGGAAUACUACAAAGCUAGGGAGUGGGAGAGGUAGACGGUACUCGGUAGGAAGGGGUAAAAUCCUUUGAUCUAUUGAUGACCACCUGUGGCGAAGGCGGUCUACCAGAACACGUCCGACGGUGAGGGAUGAAAGCUGGGGGAGCAAACCGGAUUAGAUACCCCGGUAGUC
Molecule: ribosomal RNA, 422 nt
Filed under: uncultured archaeon
Lineage: Archaea
Description: partial 16S ribosomal RNA
Rfam family: Archaeal small subunit ribosomal RNA
Source: RNAcentral